Molecule: ribosomal RNA, 403 nt
Filed under: uncultured Eubacteriales bacterium
Lineage: Bacteria; Bacillati; Bacillota; Clostridia; Eubacteriales
Description: bacterial SSU rRNA
Rfam family: Bacterial small subunit ribosomal RNA
Source: RNAcentral
GGGGAAUAUUGCACAAUGGGCGCAAGCCUGAUGCAGCGACGCCGCGUGAGCGAAGAAGGUUUUCGGAUCGUAAAGCUCUGUCCUCUGGGAAGAAAAAAUGACGGUACCAGAGGAGGAAGCCCCGGCUAACUACGUGCCAGCAGCCGCGGUAAUACGUGAGGGGGCGAGCGUUGUCCGGAUUUACUGGGCGUAAAGGGUGCGUAGGCGGCCUUGUAAGUCAGAUGUGAAAGGCUACGGCUCAACCGUAGUAAGCAUUUGAAACUGCAGGGCUUGAGUGCAGGAGAGGAGAGUGGAAUUCCUAGUGUAGCGGUGAAAUGCGUAGAUAUUAGGAGGAACACCAGUGGCGAAGGCGACUCUCUGGACUGUAACUGACGCUGAGGCACGAAAGCGUGGGGAGCAAACA